Molecule: ribosomal RNA, 899 nt
Filed under: Diaporthe rudis
Lineage: Eukaryota; Fungi; Ascomycota; Sordariomycetes; Diaporthales; Diaporthaceae
Description: eukaryotic LSU rRNA
Rfam family: Eukaryotic large subunit ribosomal RNA
Source: RNAcentral
CCGCUGAACUUAGCCAUAUCAAUAGGCGGAGGGAAAAGAAACCAACAGGGAUUGCCCUAGUAACGGCGAGUGAAGCGGCAACAGCUCAAAUUUGAAAUCUGGCCUCUGCCCGAGUUGUAAUUUGCAGAGGAUGUUUCUGGCGCGGUGCCUUCCGAGUUUCCUGGAACGGGACGCCAAAGAGGGUGAGAGCCCCGUAUGGUCGGACACCAAGCCUGUGUGAAACUCCUUCGACGAGUCGAGUAGUUUGGGAAUGCUGCUCUAAAUGGGAGGUAAAUCUCUUCUAAAGCUAAAUACCGGCCAGAGACCGAUAGCGCACAAGUAGAGUGAUCGAAAGAUGAAAAGCACCUCGAAAAGGGGGUUAAAUAGUACGUGAAAUUGUUGAAAGGGAAGCACUUAUGACCAGACUUGGGCCGGGCGGCUCAUCAGGGGUUCUCCCCUGUGCACUCCGCCCGGCACAGGCCAGCAUCGGUUCUCGUGGGGGGAUAAGACCGUCAGGAACGUAGCACCCUCCGGGGUGUGUUAUAGCCUGGCGGACGAUACCCUCGUGGGGACCGAGGUUCGCGCUCCGCAAGGAUGCUGGCGUAAUGGUCAUCAGUGACCCGUCUUGAAACACGGACCAAGGAGUCGUCCAUUAGAGCGAGCGUUUGGGUGUAAAACCCGCACGCGUAAUGAAAGUGAACGCAGGUGAGAGCUUCGGCGCAUCAUCGACCGAUCCUGAUGUUCUCGGAAGGAUUUGAGUAAGAGUUUUAACGGACGGACCCGAAAGACAGUGAACUAUGCUUGUAUAGGGUGAAGCCAGAGGAAACUCUGGUGGAGGCUCGCAGCGGUUCUGACGUGCAAAUCGAUCGUCAAAUAUGAGCAUGGGGGCGAAAGACUUAUCGAACUGUCUAGUAGCUGGU